Non-coding RNA from Cinara cedri, 288 nucleotides. Lineage: Eukaryota; Metazoa; Arthropoda; Insecta; Hemiptera; Aphididae. The record is from the annotation of a GenBank genome assembly.
CGGAAUCACGGAAGUGCCACUUGGUUUAACAAAUUAAAUAUAAAAAAGAAAAAAAAGGUUUCUUGAAAUAAGAUUUGAUGGUAUUUUUCCACCUGUAAAAAUAAAAUACAAAAAGAUGAGCCCACAAGAAAUAAUUUCUUUUUCGGUUCAAGUGCAUUACAGUUUUUAAAUGGAAAAUAAAACUGAGACAGGAGAAAUUUUUAGUAUUAUUUUUCGGACUUGUACGUAGACGAUAUUAGGAGAAUCGUUCAACGCGUUCGUAAAAUCAUGAAUUUGCGCAUUUAGCUA